UUUUUUAAGAUACGCUCGUGGCGAUAUUUGUUCGACUCCGAUCCUAAUCGACAGUUAUUGCAAAUAUUUUAACUAAAGCCCGCCUGAUGUCCGGCUUCUCCUACCUAUGAUGACAGGUCAAUAAAAUACAACAAAUGUCGCUUAUACGUGUAGCGGUGUUUAACACCAAAACAAAGAACAAACUUUUAGAAAUAAUUUGAAAACACAUAUAUGUAUUAGCGUCCCGAAUCGAAAACGUUCAAAACGUAAGAAAAUUGUUCAGUGGACAAACUUGCAAGACAUUUGAUUUGUUAAAAAACGAAGUCAUUUCGAGUUCACAGCUUAUCAAAAUGUAUGUUAUCGUGUUGUGGGGUGAAAGCACAAUUACGCAAAAGCACUAUUUUGUAUGCUACAAAUUUAAUAU
Molecule: long non-coding RNA, 403 nt
Filed under: Mytilus galloprovincialis (Mediterranean mussel)
Lineage: Eukaryota; Metazoa; Mollusca; Bivalvia; Mytilida; Mytilidae
Source: RNAcentral